Mauremys reevesii (Reeves's turtle) is the source of this 218-nucleotide long non-coding RNA. RefSeq lists it as uncharacterized. NCBI's taxonomy places the organism in Eukaryota, Metazoa, Chordata, Testudines, Geoemydidae. The transcript is spliced from 3 exons. The record is from RefSeq and is a predicted model, not a curated record.
CUUUUGGGUGCUGUGAGGAAGAGUUGGAGGAGGCUGGUGCAUCCCCAGAGACGUGCUGCUCUGUGCACCUGGAGAAGCUCCCCUUGCCCCAGCACCUCAGGCUCGUUGAGAGGAGGGUACAGUACUUGGCCAGACACCUGGAUGAAGUUCUGAUACCGCCGAGUGUGUCGACAUCUGGGAUUAGCCAGUUCUCCUAUUCCUCCAUGGAAUCCACCACC